GAGAGUUUGAUCCUGGCUCAGGACGAACGCUGGCGGCGUGCUUAACACAUGCAAGUCGAACGAGAAGAGAUGAGAAGCUUGCUUCUUAUCAAUUCGAGUGGCAAACGGGUGAGUAACGCGUAAGCAACCUGCCCUUCAGAUGGGGACAACAGCUGGAAACGGCUGCUAAUACCGAAUACGUUCUUUUUGUCGCAUGGCAGAGGGAAGAAAGGGAGGCUCUUCGGAGCUUUCGCUGAAGGAGGGGCUUGCGUCUGAUUAGCUAGUUGGAGGGGUAACAGCCCACCAAGGCGACGAUCAGUAGCCGGUCUGAGAGGAUGAACGGCCACAUUGGGACUGAGACACGGCCCAGACUCCUACGGGAGGCAGCAGUGGGGAAUCUUCCGCAAUGGACGAAAGUCUGACGGUCAACGCCGUGUGAACGAUGACGGCCUUCGGGUUGUAAAGUCCUUAUACGGACGAAUGGCGUCAGCGGUCAAUACCCGUUACGAGUGACGGUACCGUAAGAGAAAGCC
Molecule: ribosomal RNA, 512 nt
Filed under: uncultured swine feces bacterium F10
Lineage: Bacteria
Description: bacterial SSU rRNA
Rfam family: Bacterial small subunit ribosomal RNA
Source: RNAcentral